UCAUUGAAUGUUUCUAAGAUCUUUAGCAAUAUGUCCAUUGGAUUGAAGUGAUUUUUUAUAUAUAGAUAUUAAUCUUAAUUUCCAAUAUUUGGAUGAAAGUUGAGAGCAAUUUAAUAGCUCAAAAAGGAGAUAUUGGUACUAGAAGUUUAGUAUUUAAGUUGGAGUAAGUGGCCACUAAAUACUUGAUUGGAUUAUCUUGUAUUUCUAUCAAUUGAUAAGUAUCAUUAAUUUCAUUUUUCUUGUGCUUAUUCCUAACUAAAAUAUUAACAAGUAUGCAAAUUUUGAGUUGAUAUCAACAGUUUGAUCAUUAGUUGUUGAGGUUCCAAUUUGCUAUUAGAUUUGUUAAGAAAUUAUUUAAGAUCUAAAGUUUGAUUUAGAACUUAUCUAAGGUUUAGGAUUUCAUUAAGGUUUGACAUAAAAUUUUAUUAAGAUUCAAUUAGGAUUUCAUUAGGAUUUAAUCCAAGGUUUGCUUA
This 473-nucleotide long non-coding RNA is filed under the name Physcomitrium patens. RNAcentral describes it as "long non-coding RNA (PPAT_LNC009803)". The record is from RNAcentral. Lineage: Eukaryota; Viridiplantae; Streptophyta; Bryopsida; Funariales; Funariaceae.